Molecule: ribosomal RNA, 466 nt
Filed under: uncultured bacterium
Lineage: Bacteria
Description: partial 16S ribosomal RNA
Rfam family: Bacterial small subunit ribosomal RNA
Source: RNAcentral
CUACGGGUGGCAGCAGUGGGGAAUAUUGGACAAUGGGGGAAACCCUGAUCCAGCAAUGCCGCGUGUGUGAAGAAGGCCUGCGGGUUGUAAAGCACUUUCGGUUGGGAGGACUGCUUCUAGCACUAAUAUUGUUGGAAGUUGACGUUACCUUCAGAAGAAGCACCGGCUAACUCCGUGCCAGCAGCCGACGGUAAUACGGAGGGUGCAAGCGUUAAUCGGAAUUACCGGGCGUAAAGCGCGCGUAGGCGGCUAGAUCAGUCGGGUGUGAAAGCCCCGGGCUUAACCUGGGAACUGCAUCCGAUACUGUCUAGCUUGAGUACAGGAGAGGAGAGUGGAAUUCCACAUGUAGCGGUGAAAUGCGUAGAUAUGUGGAGGAGCACCAAUGGCGAAGGCAGCUCUCUGGCCUGAUACUGACGCUGAGGUGCGAAAGCGUGGGGAGCAAACAGGAUUAGAUACCCCUGUAGUC